UACGUAGGGUGCGAGCGUUGUCCGGAAUUACUGGGCGUAAAGAGCUCGUAGGUGGUUUGUCGCGUUGUUCGUGAAAACUCACAACUCAAUUGUGGGCGUGCGGGCGAUACGGGCAGACUGGAGUACUGCAGGGGAGACUGGAAUUCCUGGUGUAGCGGUGGAAUGCGCAGAUAUCAGGAGGAACACCGGUGGCGAAGGCGGCUCUCUGGGACGGUACUGACGCUGAGACGCGAAAGCGUGGGGAGCGAACAGG
Molecule: ribosomal RNA, 253 nt
Filed under: uncultured bacterium
Lineage: Bacteria
Description: partial 16S ribosomal RNA
Rfam family: Bacterial small subunit ribosomal RNA
Source: RNAcentral